This is a microRNA precursor of Xenopus tropicalis (tropical clawed frog), 92 nucleotides long. Ensembl annotates it as xtr-mir-22. Its record names the gene xtr-mir-22. The record is from Ensembl. Lineage: Eukaryota; Metazoa; Chordata; Amphibia; Anura; Pipidae.
CUGGCCCGCUAGAAGCAGUUCUUCAGUGGCAAGCUUUAUGUUGUUCCUCUGUGCUAAAGCUGCCAGUUGAAGAACUGUUGAAAGUGGCUACU